This 509-nucleotide ribosomal RNA is filed under the name uncultured bacterium. RNAcentral describes it as "bacterial SSU rRNA". It matches the Rfam family "Bacterial small subunit ribosomal RNA", at positions 15 to 518 of the family's 1533-position model. The record is from RNAcentral.
GAUCCUGGCUCAGGAUGAACGCUAGCGACAGGCCUAACACAUGCAAGUCGAGGGCAGCGCGGAGUAGCAAUACUUGGCGGCGACCGGCGCACGGGUGAGUAACACGUAUGCAACCAACCCAUAACAGGGGGAUAACCCGGAGAAAUCCGGACUAAUACCGCAUAAGACCACGAUAUCGCAUGAUAUAGAGGUCAAAUAUUUAUAGGUUAUGGGACGGGCAUGCGUCUGAUUAGCUGGUUGGCGGGUAACGGCCCACCAAGGCAUCGAUCAGUAGGGGUUCUGAGAGGAAGGUCCCCCACAUUGGAACUGAGACACGGUCCAAACUCCUACGGGAGGCAGCAGUGAGGAAUAUUGGUCAAUGGGCGAAAGCCUGAACCAGCCAUGUCGCGUGAAAGGAUGAAGGUCCUAUGGAUUGUAAACUUCUUUUGCAGGAGGGUAAAGUGAGCUACGUGUAGUUCAUUGCAAGUACCCUGCGAAUAAGCAUCGGCUAACUCCGUGCCAGCCGCCGC